RNAcentral lists this unclassified non-coding RNA (248 nucleotides) under uncultured fungus. Its description in RNAcentral is "sequence contains ITS2". The record is from RNAcentral. Lineage: Eukaryota; Fungi.
AACGCACAUUGCGCCCUUUGGUAUUCCUUAGGGCAUGCCUGUUCGAGCGUCAUUUACAAAUUCAAGCUCAGCUUGGUGAUGGGUGACUGUCCCGCCUUCGCGUGUGGACUCGCCUCAAAUGCAGUUGGCAGCUUGUUCCUCGGCUCUAAACGCAGCAGAUUUGCGUCGAGCGUCGAGCGGACGGGCUCUCCAGUAAGCAAACCCCACAAAUUGACCUCGGAUCAGGUAGGGAUACCCGCUGAACUUAA